UUGACGGGGGAGCACCACAACGGUGGAGCUUGCGGUUUAAUUGGAUUCAACGCCGGAAAUCUUACCGGGACCGACAGCUGAAUGAUAGUCGGGCUGAAGACUCUACUUGACUAGCUGAGAGGAGGUGCAUGGCCGUCGUCAGUUCGUACUGUGAAGCAUCCUGUUAAGUCAGGCAACGAGCGAGACCCACGCCAACAGUUGCCAGCUCGUCCUCCGGGAUGGUGGGGACACUGUUGGGACCGCCUCUGCUAAAGAGGAGGAAGGAAUGGGCAACGGUAGGUCAGCAUGCCCCGAAUUAUCUGGGCUACACGCGGGCUACAAUGGGUGGGACAAUGGGUAUCGACACCGAAAGGUGAAGGCAAUCUCCUAAACCCAUCCGUAGUUCGGAUUGUGGGCUGCAACUCGCCCACAUGAAGCUGGAAUCUGUAGUAAUCGUGUCUCAAAAUGGCACGGUGAAUAUGUCCCUGCUCCUU
This 473-nucleotide ribosomal RNA is filed under the name uncultured Methanomicrobiales archaeon. RNAcentral's name for it is "bacterial SSU rRNA". It matches the Rfam family "Archaeal small subunit ribosomal RNA", at positions 865 to 1338 of the family's 1478-position model. The record is from RNAcentral. Lineage: Archaea; Methanobacteriati; Methanobacteriota; Methanomicrobia; Methanomicrobiales.